GACGAACGCUGGCGGCGUGCCUAAUACAUGCAAGUAGAACGCUGACUACUUUAGCUUGCUAGAGUUGGAAGAGUUGCGAACGGGUGAGUAACGCGUAGGUAACCUGCCUAUUAGCGGGGGAUAACUAUUGGAAACGAUAGCUAAUACCGCAUAAUAGUGUUUAACACAUGUUAGAGACUUGAAAGAUGCAAUUGCAUCACUAGUAGAUGGACCUGCGUUGUAUUAGCUAGUUGGUGGGGUAACGGCCUACCAAGGCGACGAUACAUAGCCGACCUGAGAGGGUGAUCGGCCACACUGGGACUGAGACACGGCCCAG
Molecule: ribosomal RNA, 316 nt
Filed under: uncultured bacterium
Lineage: Bacteria
Description: bacterial SSU rRNA
Rfam family: Bacterial small subunit ribosomal RNA
Source: RNAcentral